GGAAGCCUUUUCCGUAGAGAAAAAAAUACUCUUGAUAAAUAACUAUAACUAAAUAUAUCUUGGAUAUCCUAUAUGUUAGAACAAGUCUCCGAGUACAAAAAUAAUCAAUAAUAUCAAAGAUACAAACAAAAUGCUAGCACCUAUUGGCAAAAGAAAAGAAGAAAAAAUGCUCACUUCACACCAGACUUUGAAAGGAGCCGAAAUGCUCUGUUGGAAUUGUUCAAGGCAGAGCACGAUCUCUUGACUGACAUGAUUUUAGAUAUUAACAAGCAACAUGAUUAACAAGCAUUAUCAGAACAAAUAAAGGAUUUUAGAAACAAACUACAAACCAUUAUCAGAAUAGAUAAUUUUAGAAAUUAACAAGCAACAUUAUUUAUUUUAGCCUUCUCCUUCUCCCUUUCAGAGUGAGGCAAGAAAACUUGUCUGCAAAAGAAUUAUGCACUUUUACAUACAUAUGUAAACCAUCAUGCAUCCAAUAAUAUGUUUCUUCAAUUUGUAGCUACCAUUAAUAAACUUAUCCAAUCUUUGAUCAGUUUUUCAAAACUUGUUACUUUUCUAUAUUCUCUACCUAAUUUAAUGGUUCACUUGAGAAAUUCAACAAAAUUUCAAAAGGUAAAAAGAAAAAAGAACAAGAACAAUAAGUGGUUUAAUUGAGAUUAUAGUAAGAACCAAAACAAGUAGAAAUGACAGUCAUAUUCUAUUAGAGUAUUAGGUGAAUUUGGUAUGCGUGAGAUCCACUUCUUAUUAUGAAUAAUAUCAUUUCACACUAGCACGACCCAAUAUGUUAUAUGAUUAACGACUUGCACUAAAAGCAAUAAGAAACCAAAGACAUCUACUUGUCCAGUGACAUCAAUUAGGCAUAUAUCUGUUGGGAUUGUGUAAUGGAUUUACCAACUUUAAAUUCGAGCAAAUUUUUAUCAAACCUACACAGAGCAUAAAAACCAAAACCUACUACUCCAUAAAUGCACGCUGGUUAGGCACAUGUUGUUUUUCAAACACAAAACAAAUUGACUUUCCUCAUCAGGGGGCCAAGAUUCUUAGGUGAUGAAAGCAUUAGUAGUAAUAAGGAUGUUUUGUUUUCUAAAUGAUUUCUACUUUUGAUACUGGAUACGGAUAGUUUAUUAUUAGUUUAUUACUCUAUUAUUAGCAGAGCCAAAGCUAAUGAUUUAGUGGGUAGAGCAACUUUGUUACCUUCUCGUCACAAGCAUGGCAGACAAUGAGCACGACGAGGGACGGCUGGAAAAGACCCACUGAGCAAGAUAAGGGGUUAUAGGCCGCGACGACUCGAAAACUACCGCGACGAAGCUCGCGACUGCCAAUUGAGGUGCGGGCGUGGAGCAGGACGAAUAUCUCCGGACGACGACAAUCAGAAGUCCAGCGACGGCGGUCGGAGUGGAGGAAGCUAGGGUUUCCUUCCAGGGAGAUGCUCGUUCUUCUCUGAGCAACUGAGCAUGGUGAGAGGAGGAGAGAGAACUAAAGACCCAACCCAACCUGUUUCAAUCAUUUUUGUUUUCUGAAACUACUCCCAACGAUCAAGAAGGCCCAACCCAUGAAGCUGGACGCACGGAACCCACUACGAUGAAAUCCCGUUUCUUGUUCAACCUACCGGCUCGGCUCAGCGAACCCUUCCCAUGAGCUCCCAUAUUCUACUCAGAGCCUACUCCAUUCUGCAAAAUUAAGCAACACGUGUGAGAAGAAGAUGUAGGUAGAAAGAAUAUUUGUAUAUCUGUAUAGAAAUUAAUCUGUACAGUAGAUUGACCCUUUUAGAAAAUUAACUUACCAAAUACUAAUUAUAAAGAAGAAAUUAUCCACCAUUACUAUUUACUAGUGGAAAAAUUUAAAAUUAAUGGCUAAAUAUUAUCAUCUCCCACUAUAAAUAUUCUAUCAAAUUCAAAUUUUUUUCAAUCUUAA
Molecule: long non-coding RNA, 1911 nt
Filed under: Arachis ipaensis
Lineage: Eukaryota; Viridiplantae; Streptophyta; Magnoliopsida; Fabales; Fabaceae
Description: long non-coding RNA (AIPA_LNC002571)
Source: RNAcentral